Molecule: long non-coding RNA, 2462 nt
Organism: Takifugu rubripes (torafugu)
Lineage: Eukaryota; Metazoa; Chordata; Actinopteri; Tetraodontiformes; Tetraodontidae
Source: Ensembl
CCAGUCUAUUUAAAGAUAUUUAUCCUGGAAAGAAGUUUGGGGCUUGAAAGUAAACUUGAUUAAAGUUCAACUUUAGUCAUUACUGACUUUAUUUGGUCUGAUACUGAGUGGGGGCGAGGUUCAGGUAGUUUGACCCCCAGCCCAGACAGACAUAUAACAAUAGAUUUGAUUAUGUGUAAAAUUCCUCUGCUAGCCCACGUUUAACCCACCAAAACCCCACAAAUUUGAUUCCUGCCAAAGCUGCCAAACUCAAAUAAAAUCAAGAAACUUUAAAAUUUUGUAUUCUAUUUCUAUUUCCUCCACAAAAACAGCGGGUAGUUUUGAUUAAGCGAGUAAAAGUGAGGCAGCUUUCACCGGGAGAAUUCAAAGAAGUCUCUGGCCCCAUCUAGUGGCCGAUGCCCUGUAAAAACCCAGGCUUUUUUGUUGAUUAGUAUUGAAAUUGGCCUUCUCCCUGAGUUAACAGUCACGCUGCAGAUGAGGAAAACAAACACUUGUCAACAUGUAAGCUCUUCCACACGCGUCCACAGAGAUCACCGGGGGCUCCCACCGUGACCCUAAUCUGCAGAUAAUCACAUUAUGGUGUUUAGAGCCUGUAGGAACUGCAGAGUCACCUCCCGUGGCCUGAUGGCACAGCGCUAACAAACAAGACCGCGAUGACGGCAGACUUUCUGCUGCACUUUGACAAGCAAAUCGGCAAAAAUCUGAGAUGUUUCCCAAACCGGGGGCUCCCCAGCCAGGAGAAAUGUCGGCCAUGCAAGUUAAAAAUACCAGGUUGCAUCUGAAUGGUGAGAACCUCAGGCUGGCAGCUAAAAACAGCCACUCCUCAAAGACACCUGGCCACCAUGUGUCACUGGCUUAUGAAAAGGAAGUGGUGGGUGGCUUUACAGCCCCCCCACUGACUCUCAGGUCACUCAGGCGUCCAUUAGGAAGCACCUUUCCCGAUCAACAAGCCAGACGCCCUCAUACCCUCGCACCACUGGACCUACCGGAGGAUGUGCGGGAGGCUCAGAGGCAAAAACUACAGCAAGAAGCCAAACCUCCAAAUGACACCAGGAAGGUGAGUUCCCCCAUGGGACUGAGACUUACAAGAGCAGCGGUGUGUCCCACUGAACCACACAGAGCAACAAGCAGAUCCUCCAGGCCUCAGCUCACAAGCUGCACCCCCAUGGAGCUCAAAGGAGACAGCCAGUUGGAGGAGGUGGUGUGCCGUGGUACCCUGGCUCCUCUGUACACCAAACCUGGACCCCCAACUCCUCAGAUUAGAGCUCAUGCUUCUUAUGGGACAGAGGAGGCAGCUCAGAAUCCCAGCAGCCUCCUGCAGGACACAAGGAGGAGGCGGCUGAGGCUGAGGAGAACACAAUGCCUGGAAGAGGAUCAGCAAGUUACAGAUAAAUCAACAGCAGGAUUAUCUGUGGAAAAAGGCAUUCUGGCUCAGGGUGUCCAGUGCAGAGGGGAGAGGACCGCGAGAGGCCAGCGUCCUCCUGGAAAAGGCAUCAGUCAGCCUCCCGCUGCCUCCCUGGAGAAGAGAAGCAUCAGGAAGAGCCAUCAAGAGGAUUACAGUCAGAACCGGCAGGCAGCAGAAAGUGGAAGGAGGGAACAAUUCCUGGAUGGUGUCAAGUGCUUCCAACUGGAGAUUAGGCAGAAAAAAAGACACAAAUCACUCCUCCCCUGUCCCCCUUGAACCCGAUUCCUUUAGAUCUUUUCCUGCUGUAAAUAAAGGGGGGGGGGGGGGGUUAUUUAGAGGCUUCUCAUUCUUCUCAACAAAGAGCAAUAUUCUCUUCCACCCUUUUAUUAAAGCGCAGCAUCCGGCGUGUGGUUGUGGGGGGGUCUCUGAGGGGACCCAGCACGAACUCACAGCAGCCCAAAGUUUGCCAAUGCACAUUACUCUCCCCCCCCCCCCCCCCCCCCCCCGCUGCUUCCAAAGUAGAAAACGAAUAAAUGAGCAGCCGUCAGGUGGCUUUCAGCUACAGAUUGUUCCUUUUCCAAAACCCGUGUCCCCGAUCGGGAAAUGUUCCAGCACGAUUGUCCUGAAGAAGCGACUGAAGUGAGGAGGAACCGUGGAGGGAUUUAACAAUUUCUGAGUCAUUAACAUUUAAUAAACAAUGUGAACCAUUCAUCCUGGAACGAGUCCCGCCUGUUUUUCAUAUUUCUGUGCUUCCGCUGGGAAUCAGCAGACUGAGAAUGUGAAUGUUCUAUAAUAAACUAGACUUAAAUGUGCACGAUAUGGUCUCUCCAAACACAACGACAGAGCUACAACGCUAAUGAUAAGAAUACUGAUAGCAGCCAGAUUAAGAUUUGAUGUUUUGCUCAUAAAUUGUUCACGAAGUGAAACUCCAAGCCUCUUUGGUUUCCUGCAACAUUCCUUUCCCAAACAAAUACCAAUAUCCAGAAAGUUGUCCCAAACAGUCCGAGGAUGCUAAGCAGCUGCUCCCUUUACUUAGACAUGUAAGGGGAACUCUGGC